Molecule: non-coding RNA, 63 nt
Organism: Xenopus laevis (African clawed frog)
Lineage: Eukaryota; Metazoa; Chordata; Amphibia; Anura; Pipidae
Source: Rfam
GUGCUUGUCUCUUAUGAUCUGAAUGACAUCCAGAUAAAGUACAUGGAUGAGGAUAAUGAAGAG